UGUGAUGUUUGUACCGGCUACUGUAUGCAGAGCACCAUAAAGAUUUUAUCAAAGAAUUUGCUGACUUUCUUUCAGAGUUAGUGCUAGCUGCAGAUAAAGUCCUAAUUGUUGGUGAUUGUAAUAUCCAUAUGAAUAAUGGAAAAGAUGCAUCAGUAUCAACUUCUAGGCAUUCUGAACUAUAUUGGAGUUCGAUAACACAUCAGGACCAUUGAAAUCAUACUUCAGAUUUAAUAUUUAAUACUGUCCCAUUGGUUUGAUGUUAAUGGCAUUGGCAAAACUACAGGUGUUUCAUAUUGAAUGGAGAGACAGUACUUCCUCCUGC
Long non-coding RNA from Cyprinus carpio (common carp), 322 nucleotides. RefSeq lists it as uncharacterized. NCBI's taxonomy places the organism in Eukaryota, Metazoa, Chordata, Actinopteri, Cypriniformes, Cyprinidae. The record is from RefSeq and is a predicted model, not a curated record. The transcript is spliced from 2 exons.